Molecule: ribosomal RNA, 243 nt
Filed under: Striatella unipunctata
Lineage: Eukaryota; Bacillariophyta; Striatellaphyceae; Striatellales; Striatellaceae
Description: partial Bacterial large subunit ribosomal RNA
Rfam family: Bacterial large subunit ribosomal RNA
Source: RNAcentral
GGACGUGAUAAGCUGCGAAAAGUCACGGUGAGGUGCAAAUAACUUUUGACCCGUGAAUGUCCGAAUGGGGAAACCCACUAUGUUGAAGACAUAGUAUCCGAAAGGAAGCAAACCCGGUGAACUGAAACAUCUAAGUAACUGGAGGAAAAGAAAACAAAAGUGAUUCCCUAAGUAGUGGCGAGCGAACGGGGAAUAGCCCAAACCAGAAUUGUUUAGGCAAUUUUGGGGUUGUAGGACUGUAAU